UCAAGCUAUAAAGAGCGCAAGGGGAAUGCCUUGGCAUCAGGAGCCGAAGAAGGACGUGACAAGCUGCGAUAAGCUUCGGGGAGGAGCAAAUAUCCGUUGAUCCGGAGAUUUCCGAAUGGGGAAACCCACCAGAGCAAUACUCUGGUAUCGUGCGUUGAAUAAAAUAGGCGUACGAAGGGAACGCCCUGAACUGAAACAUCUAAGUAGGGGCAGGAAAAGACAUCAACCGAGAUUCCGCAAGUAGUGGCGAGCGAACGCGGAGGAGGCCAAACCGGUGGAUUUAUUCACCGGGGUUCGGACUGGCAUCACGAUCAGAGGUAUCUAGAAGAACGGCAUGGGAAGGCCGGCCAUAGAGGGUGAGAGCCCCGUAUUUGAAAGAGAAGACUGACAGCCAGUAUCCAGAGUACCGCGGGACACGUGAAACCCCGUGGGAAGAUGGGUGGACCACCAUCCAAGCCUAAAUACUACCUGAUGACCGAUAGAGGAGCAGUACCGUGAGGGAAAGGUGAAAAGGACCCCGGGAGGGGAGUGAAAGAGAACCUGAAACCUUGUGCUUACAAGCACUCAAAGCACGUUAAAGUGUGAUGAGGUACUUUUUGUAGAACGGUCCGGCGAGUUAUAGUAACGAGCAAGCUUAAGGUAUUCAGUACCGGAGGCGAAGCGAGAGCGAGUCUGAAUAGGGCGCAUAAAGUUCGUUGCCAUAGACCCGAAACCGGGUGACCUAACCAUGAGCAGGCUGAAGUGAGAGUAAAAUCUCAUGGAGGGCCGAACGCACGUUCGUUGCAAUGACCGGCGAUGACUUGUGGUUAGCGGAGAAAUUCCAAUCGAACUCGGAGAUAGCUGGUUCUCCCCGAAAUAGCUUUAGGGCUAGCGUUGAUUUAGAUUACCGGAGGUAAAGCACUGAAUGGGCUAGGGGGCGAUAAGCUUACUGAACCCUAUCAAACUCUGAAUGCCGGCUAAUUGAUGAUCAGCAGUCAGACAGUGUGAGAUAAGUUUCAUUGUCAAAAGGGAAACAGCCCAGACCUACAGCUAAGGUCCCAAAUGUAUGCUAAGUGGAAAACGAUGUGGAGUUGCGAAAACAACCAGGAUGUUGGCUUAGAAGCAGCCAUUCAUUAAAAGAGUUCGUAAUAGAUCACUGGUCGAGUGACUCUGCGCGGAAAAUAUAACGGGGCUAAGUAUGCAACCGAAGCUUAGGAUGUCCGCAAGGGCGUGGUAGGGGAGCGUCGUGUACGGGGUGAAGUCGCAGCGGAAGCAGCGGUGGACUGUACAGGAGUGAGAAUGCCGGAAUGAGUAGCGAGAAUUAUGUGGGAAUCAUAAUGGCCGAAAAUCUAAGGUUUCUUGGGGAAGGUUCGUCCGCCCAAGGUAAGCCGGGAGCUAAGGCGAGGCCGCGAGGCGUAGUCGAUGCACAUACGGUAGAAAUUCCGUAGCCACCGAACUUUAAACCAGAAGGACACUUUCAGAUAGCGGGACCCAGCCGUUGGUAGAGCUGGGCGCAAGGGACCGAAAUAUAGUAGGGAAGUCCGCGAUGCUGGGAGGCGAGAAAAGCUCUGGUGUACACUAAGGUGCCCGUACCGCAAACCGACACAGGUAGAUGAGGAGAGAAUCCUAAGGCCAACGGGAGAAGGGUUGUUAAGGAACUCGGCAAAUUGACCCCGUAACUUCGGAAGAAGGGGAGCCUCGAAAGAGGCCGCAGUGAAUAGGCCCAAGCAACUGUUUACCAAAAACACAGGUCUAUGCUAAAUCGAAAGAUGACGUAUAUGGGCUGACGCCUGCCCGGUGCCGGAAGGUUAAGAGGAGAGCUUAGCGCAAGCGAAGGUUUGAAUUGAAGCCCCGGUAAACGGCGGCCGUAACUAUAACGGUCCUAAGGUAGCGAAAUUCCUUGUCAGGUAAGUUCUGACCCGCACGAAUGGCGUAACGAUUUGGGCACUGUCUCAACAGCCCGCCCGGCGAAAUUGUAGUACCGGUGAAGAU
This 1971-nucleotide ribosomal RNA is filed under the name human gut metagenome. RNAcentral describes it as "bacterial LSU rRNA". It matches the Rfam family "Bacterial large subunit ribosomal RNA", at positions 3 to 2060 of the family's 2925-position model. The record is from RNAcentral.